GGGUGAGUAAUGUAUCGGAACGUACCUUUCAGUGGGGGAUAACGUAGCGAAAGUUACGCUAAUACCGCAUAUUCUGUGAGCAGGAAAGCAGGGGAUCGCAAGACCUUGCGCUGAUUGAGCGGCCGAUAUCAGAUUAGCUAGUUGGUGAGGUAAAGGCUCACCAAGGCGACGAUCUGUAGCGGGUCUGAGAGGAUGAUCCGCCACACUGGAACUGAGACACGGUCCAGACUCCUACGGGAGGCAGCAGUGGGGAAUUUUGGACAAUGGGGGCAACCCUGAUCCAGCCAUGCCGCGUGAGUGAAGAAGGCCUUCGGGUUGUAAAGCUCUUUCGGCCGGGAAGAAAUCGUAUGGGUUAAUACCCUGUGCGGAUGACGGUACCGGCAUGAGAAGCACCGGCUAACUACGUGCCAGCAGCCGCGGUAAUACGUAGGGUGCGAGCGUUAAUCGGAAUUACUGGGCGUAAAGCGAGCGCAGGCGGUUUUGUAAGACAGGCGUGAAAUCCCCGGGCUCAACCUGGGAACUGCGCUUGUGACUGCAAGGCUAGAGUAUGGCAGAGGGGGGUGGAAUUCCACGUGUAGCAGUGAAAUGCGUAGAGAUGUGGAGGAACACCAAUGGCGAAGGCAGCCCCCUGGGCCAAUACUGACGCUCAUGCACGAAAGCGUGGGUAGCAAACAGGAUUAGAUACCCUGGUAGUCCACGCCCUAAACGAUGUCAACUAGGUGUUGGGUGGGUAAAACCAUUUAGUACCGGAGCUAACGCGUGAAGUUGACCGCCUGGGGAGUACGGCCGCAAGGUUAAAACUCAAAGGAAUUGACGGGGACCCGCACAAGCGGUGGAUGAUGUGGAUUAAUUCGAUGCAACGCGAAAAACCUUACCUACCCUUGACAUGUCCAGGAGCCUGAAGAGAUUUGGGUGUGCCCGAAAGGGAACAGGAACACAGGUGCUGCAUGGCUGUCGUCAGCUCGUGUCGUGAGAUGUUGGGUUAAGUCCCGCAACGAGCGCAACCCUUGUCGUUAAUUGCCAUCAUUUAGUUGGGCACUUUAACGAGACUGCCGGUGACAAACCGGAGGAAGGUGGGGAUGACGUCAAGUCCUCAUGGCCCUUAUGGGUAGGGCUUCACACGUCAUACAAUGGUCGGUACAAAGGGUUGCCAACCCGCGAGGGGGAGCCAAUCCCAGAAAGCCGAUCGUAGUCCGGAUUGCAGGCUGCAACUCGCCUGCAUGAAGUCGGAAUCGCUAGUAAUCGUGGAUCAGCAUGUCACGGUGAAUACGUUCCCGGGUCUUGUACACACCGCCCGUCACACCAUGGGAGCGGGUUCCGCCAGAAGUAGGUAGCCUAACCGCAAGGGGGGCGCUUACCACGGCGGGGUUC
This 1371-nucleotide ribosomal RNA is filed under the name metagenome. RNAcentral describes it as "bacterial SSU rRNA". It matches the Rfam family "Bacterial small subunit ribosomal RNA", at positions 104 to 1470 of the family's 1533-position model. The record is from RNAcentral.